UACGUAGGGGGCAAGCGUUGUCCGGAAUCAUUGGGCGUAAAGCGCGUGUAGGCGGCUUGGUAAGUCUGCUCUGAAAGCCCGGGGCUCAACCCCGGGAGGCGGGUGGAUACUGUCAAGCUCGAGUCCGGAAGAGGAGUGUGGAAUUCCUGGUGUAGCGGUGAAAUGCGUAGAUAUCAGGAGGAACACCGGUGGUGUAGACGGCUUUCUGGACCGUAACUGACGCUGAGACACGAAAGCGUGGGUAGCAAACAGG
This 253-nucleotide ribosomal RNA is filed under the name uncultured bacterium. RNAcentral's name for it is "partial 16S ribosomal RNA". It matches the Rfam family "Bacterial small subunit ribosomal RNA", at positions 524 to 776 of the family's 1533-position model. The record is from RNAcentral.